AACUAAUGAGCUUGAACAAGCGUGUACCUUGAAAGUACAUGAAAGAAAUAUUAAUUUCUAUUAGUUU
This 67-nucleotide transfer RNA is filed under the name Strongylium suspicax. RNAcentral's name for it is "tRNA-Ser". The record is from RNAcentral. Lineage: Eukaryota; Metazoa; Arthropoda; Insecta; Coleoptera; Tenebrionidae.